This 468-nucleotide ribosomal RNA is filed under the name uncultured bacterium. RNAcentral describes it as "partial 16S ribosomal RNA". It matches the Rfam family "Bacterial small subunit ribosomal RNA", at positions 28 to 507 of the family's 1533-position model. The record is from RNAcentral.
GACGAACGCUGGCGGCGUGCUUAACACAUGCAAGUCGAACGGAAAGGCCCUGCUUUUGUGGGGUGCUCGAGUGGCGAACGGGUGAGUAACACGUGAGUAACCUGCCCUUGACUUUGGGAUAACUUCAGGAAACUGGGGCUAAUACCGGAUAGGAGCUCCUGCUGCAUGGUGGGGGUUGGAAAGUUUCGGCGGUCGGGGAUGGACUCGCGGCCUAUCAGCUUGUUGGUGGGGUAGUGGCUUACCAAGGCUUUGACGGGUAGCCGGCCUGAGAGGGUGACCGGCCACAUUGGGACUGAGAUACGGCCCAGACUCCUACGGGAGGCAGCAGUGGGGAAUAUUGCACAAUGGGCGGAAGCCUGAUGCAGCAACGCCGCGUGCGGGAUGACGGCCUUCGGGUUGUAAACCGCUUUCGCCUGUGACGAAGCGUGAGUGACGGUAAUGGGUAAAGAAGCACCGGCUAACUACGUG